UACGUAGGGGCCGAGCGUUGUCCGGAGUUAUUGGGCGUAAAGCGCGCGCAGGCGGCACUUCAAGUAAGGUGUGAAAUCUCCCUGCUCAACGGGGAGGGUGCACUUUAGACUGAGGAGCUAGAGGACGGUAGGGGGGGGUGGAAUUGCUGGUGUAGCGGUGAAAUGCGUAGAGAUCAGCAGGAACACCCGUGGCGAAGGCGGCCCCCUGGGCCGUACCUGACGCUGAGGCGCGAAGGCUAGGGGAGCGAACGGG
RNAcentral lists this ribosomal RNA (253 nucleotides) under uncultured bacterium. Its description in RNAcentral is "partial 16S ribosomal RNA". It matches the Rfam family "Bacterial small subunit ribosomal RNA", at positions 524 to 776 of the family's 1533-position model. The record is from RNAcentral.